This 69-nucleotide transfer RNA is filed under the name Ovis aries (sheep). It matches the Rfam family "tRNA". Rfam says of the family: Transfer RNA (tRNA) molecules are approximately 80 nucleotides in length. Their secondary structure includes four short double-helical elements and three loops (D, anti-codon, and T loops). Lineage: Eukaryota; Metazoa; Chordata; Mammalia; Artiodactyla; Bovidae. The record is from Rfam by way of RNAcentral.
CCUGGUGGCUCAGAUGGUAAAGCGUCUGCCUGCAACGCGGGAGACCCAGGUUCAAUUCCUGGGUCAGGA